This 253-nucleotide ribosomal RNA is filed under the name uncultured bacterium. RNAcentral's name for it is "partial 16S ribosomal RNA". It matches the Rfam family "Bacterial small subunit ribosomal RNA", at positions 524 to 776 of the family's 1533-position model. The record is from RNAcentral.
UACAGAGGGGGCAAGCGUUGUUCGGAAUUACUGGGCGUAAGGGGCUCGUAGGCGGCCAACUAAGUCAGACGUGAAAUCCCUCGGCUUAACCGGGGAACUGCGUCUGAUACUGGAUGGCUUGAGGUUGGGAGAGGGAUGCGGAAUUCCAGGUGUAGCGGUGAAAUGCGUAGAUAUCUGGAGGAACACCGGUGGCGAAGGCGGCAUCCUGGACCAAUUCUGACGCUGAGGAGCGAAAGCCAGGGGAGCAAACGGG